GAUGAACGCUGGCGGCGUGCCUAAUACAUGCAAGUCGAGCGAACAGACGAGGAGCUUGCUCCUCUGACGUUAGCGGCGGACGGGUGAGUAACACGUGGAUAACCUACCUAUAAGACUGGGAUAACUUCGGGAAACCGGAGCUAAUACCGGAUAAUAUAUUGAACCGCAUGGUUCAAUAGUGAAAGACGGUUUUGCUGUACCUUAUAGAUGUAUCCCCGCCGCAUUAGCUAGUUGGUAAGGUAAAGGCUUACCAAGGCAACGAUGCGUAGCCGACCUGAGAGGGUGAUCGGCCACACUGGAACUGAGACACGGUCCAGACUCCUACGGGAGGCAGCAGUAGGGAAUCUUCCGCAAUGGGCGAAAGCCUGACGGAGCAACGCCGCGUGAGUGAUGAAGGUCUUCGGAUCGUAAAACUCUGUUAUUAGGGAAGAACAAAGGUGUAAGUAACUAUGCACGUCUUGACGGUACCUAAUCAAAAAGCCACGGCUAACUACGGGC
RNAcentral lists this ribosomal RNA (498 nucleotides) under uncultured bacterium. RNAcentral's name for it is "partial 16S ribosomal RNA". It matches the Rfam family "Bacterial small subunit ribosomal RNA", at positions 28 to 508 of the family's 1533-position model. The record is from RNAcentral.